UACGAAGGGGGCUAGCGUUGCUCGGAAUUACUGGGCGUAAAGGGAGCGUAGGCGGACAUUUAAGUCAGGGGUGAAAUCCCGGGGCUCAACCUCGGAAUUGCCUUUGAUACUGGGUGUCUUGAGUAUGAGAGAGGUAUGUGGAACUCCGAGUGUGGAGGUGAAAUUCGUAGAUAUUCGGAAGAACACCAGUGGCGAAGGCGACAUACUGGCUCAUUACUGACGCUGAGGCUCGAAAGCGUGGGGAGCAAACAGG
This 253-nucleotide ribosomal RNA is filed under the name uncultured bacterium. Its description in RNAcentral is "partial 16S ribosomal RNA". It matches the Rfam family "Bacterial small subunit ribosomal RNA", at positions 524 to 776 of the family's 1533-position model. The record is from RNAcentral.